UGGCCGAGAAGGAGACCUCCGUGGGGGUGCGAUAGCGGUGGUCUCUCGCCUGUCUUCUCUGUAGGACCCACGGGAUAGUCCCAUGAUCCUAAGAGAAGGCAGACAUGAGCCAGCCUGAAGAAACCUCAAGGAGAGCCCCAAGAGUAAAUCACGAAAUCCCUAAGAAUCCAAAAGGAUCUGCAGGACGCCUCAGGCCUGCCUACACGUUGUAGGGGUGAAGUUGCUGGAACCCAUUCUCCAUUCAGCAGAUUGUAUCCUCACCCCAUGUGACCUUAUUGCUGCUCAGACUCUAUGUUCCAGGAUAAAAUCCCAAGAAGAUGGAGAAGUGCAUCCCUCAUGAUGUGAAGCAUGUGCGCAGCUGGGAACCAAAUUCGAGAGCUCACAGUUUGAAUAGAAGAAUCCAAAGCUACAACAGCAGCAGCAGCUAUAGCUGUGACCGCUAUGAGGCCCGUGAUGACAGCUAUUAAGGGAGACUCACCACCAAGGGGAUUACCACCAUCGUAGCUACCAUUAGAUUACUGGUGGUCAGCAGCUUGUGCUGAGACCGCAGGUUCUCUUCUUCAGUGCGAGCUAGUCUCUUCAUCCGCCCCCAGGUCGGUGGAGUUGCUUGGUAAAGUUGAGGAACCCAAUCCAUCCCUCACCAGGUUGUAUCCUCACCAUUAUCUGACCUUAUUGCUGCUCACACUCUAUGUCCCAGGAUGAAAUACCAGGAUGAUGGAGUGCCCCCUCAUGACUUGAAGCACCUGCUUGGCUGGGAACUGAAUUUGAGAAUGAAAUCCCAAGACAAUGGAGGAGUGUCCCCUAAUGACAUUAAGCACGUGCUUGGCUGGGAACCGAAUUGGAGGGGAGGUAGUUUGGCCUCCGGCGGGUCUCAACCAGACUCUCAAUUCACUGCAGAUUCACGAUCCACAGAAGAAUAAAGAACACAGAGACCCACAGUCCAAGCAGAGCCACAGACACACAGGCGACCAGAAUGUUGAGUUACCGAAAAAAAAGAAGAGCUGCAAUGUGUUAGCCACUCUACUAUAAGCAGACUCCGCUUACAGACAUGCAUACCCACACAUACACCUGCAAAUACACAAAGCCACACAGUCAGGCAGACAUCCAACACUUGCAACACUCCAACAGAAACACAGCCCAGCAGCUCCUGAGGCUGAAUGGCUCUUCAGGAAGCCCCACAUGGGAGAGAGCAACCCCAGGGAACACAGGCGGGCUGUAUCUAGUAAUCACCGUGGGAUAAGUUUCAAAAAUACUCACCCUUACAAUGUCUAAUUAGGCCUGAGGCAUCCUGUAGAUCCUUAUGGAUCCUUAGGGAUUUUGAAGUUCAUUCCUGCGGCUCUGCUUGAUGUUUCUUCAGGCUGACUCACAUCUACCCACUCCUAGAUUCAUGGGACUGUCCUGUGGAUCUCUGAGACAAGACAGGCAAUAUUCCAUCGCCAACACACCUCCAGGGAGUUCUCCUUCUCUGUCAAGCCACAGGGACUUGUCACUAGGCAAUGGUGGCAUUCACUGUGAAGCUAGCAAUAGCUCCCUGCUCAGGACUGGUGCUUUGAGGCUAUCACAGGCGCAUUCAUGAGGCAGGCUUGGGUGCCUGGCUGUCAAAACUGUCAGCCUGCCUAAGCAGACAAAAGUGGUACAGGCAGAGCUAGACUGGUAUUGAGAAAAAGGCUGUCUGCAAUAACCUACUGUGGGACCCUAAAAGUCUUGACCUUAUUGACCCUCUGGGUCAUCUCGCUGGUCAGGUCCCGGUGGAGGAGGAGGUAUUUCGAGACUGUGAGGUGGUCGCUGGAGAUGGCUCUUCUGUCUCCACUCCUGAAAGAGUCUGUGUGCAAGAAUCAGGUCCGACGGGGAUUGGAAUAGAGUCUGGUGAGUAGUUGAGGGUUCUUUAUGUGAUGGAAUCAUACCUAAGACCUCAGAGAAUAAAAAUGGCUCAUCACUUUAC
RNAcentral lists this long non-coding RNA (1942 nucleotides) under Homo sapiens (human). RNAcentral describes it as "testis expressed transcript, Y-linked 13". Lineage: Eukaryota; Metazoa; Chordata; Mammalia; Primates; Hominidae. The record is from RNAcentral.